GGACAGGUGGCCGAGUGGUCGAAGGCGCACGAUUGGAAAUCGUGUGUACCUCCAAAGGGUACCAAGGGUUCGAAUCCCUUUCUGUCCGCCA
This 91-nucleotide transfer RNA is filed under the name Alphaproteobacteria bacterium. Its description in RNAcentral is "tRNA-Ser". It matches the Rfam family "tRNA". From Rfam's summary of the family: Transfer RNA (tRNA) molecules are approximately 80 nucleotides in length. Their secondary structure includes four short double-helical elements and three loops (D, anti-codon, and T loops). Lineage: Bacteria; Pseudomonadati; Pseudomonadota; Alphaproteobacteria. The record is from RNAcentral.